GAGGGUAUAGCUCAGUGGUAGAAUGUGUGCUUAGCAUGCAUGAGGUCCUGGGUUCCAUCCCCAGUCCCUCCA
RNAcentral lists this transfer RNA (72 nucleotides) under Camelus ferus (Wild Bactrian camel). It matches the Rfam family "tRNA". Rfam says of the family: Transfer RNA (tRNA) molecules are approximately 80 nucleotides in length. Their secondary structure includes four short double-helical elements and three loops (D, anti-codon, and T loops). Further hydrogen bonds mediate the characteristic L-shaped molecular structure. tRNAs have two regions of fundamental functional importance: the anti-codon, which is responsible for specific mRNA codon recognition, and the 3' end, to which the tRNAs corresponding amino acid is attached (by aminoacyl-tRNA synthetases). tRNAs cope with the degeneracy of the genetic code in two manners: having more than one tRNA (with a specific anti-codon) for a particular amino acid; and 'wobble' base-pairing, i.e. permitting non-standard base-pairing at the 3rd anti-codon position. Lineage: Eukaryota; Metazoa; Chordata; Mammalia; Artiodactyla; Camelidae. The record is from Rfam by way of RNAcentral.